RNAcentral lists this non-coding RNA (157 nucleotides) under pig gut metagenome. The record is from RNAcentral.
AGGAUAUUAGAUUUUCUUAUUGACCCGUUCCUGAUAAAACAAUGCUCGGACAGGACGUCCGAGCAAGUCGACACGCGCCAUGGAGGGCGCGUUGGAGACGUUUGUGUCACUUCUAAGCUACCGAUAUCGGGACAAUUAGAAAAUCUUAUAUCCGGAG